GAUCGAACGGCGUAGCUACAGGCUUAACACAUGCAAGUCGAGGGGCAGCGGAUUGAAGCUUGCUUCAAUUGCCGGCGACCGGCGCACGGGUGAGUAACGCGUAUCCAACCUUCCGUACACUCAGGGAUAGCCUUUCGAAAGAAAGAUUAAUACCUGAUGGUAUCUUAAGCACACAUGUAAUUAAGAUUAAAGAUUUAUCGGUGUACGAUGGGGAUGCGUUCCAUUAGGUAGUAGGCGGGGUAACGGCCCACCUAGCCAACGAUGGAUAGGGGUUCUGAGAGGAAGGUCCCCCACAUUGGAACUGAGACACGGUCCAA
This 317-nucleotide ribosomal RNA is filed under the name uncultured bacterium. Its description in RNAcentral is "bacterial SSU rRNA". It matches the Rfam family "Bacterial small subunit ribosomal RNA", at positions 37 to 334 of the family's 1533-position model. The record is from RNAcentral.